ACGGAAGGGGCGAGCGUUAUUCGGAAUUACUGGGUUUAAAGGGUGUGUAGGCGGCCCUGCAAGUCGGGUGUCAAAGUCCAGUGCUCAACGCUGGGUGUGCGCGCGAUACUGCCGGGCUUGAGGACUGACGAGGUGAGCGGAAUUCCCGGUGUAGUGGUGAAAUGCGUAGAGAUCACGAUGAACUCCAACGGCGCAGGCAGCUUACUAGACAGUUUCUGACGCUAAGAUUCGAAAGUGUGUGUAUCGAACAG
This 251-nucleotide ribosomal RNA is filed under the name uncultured prokaryote. RNAcentral's name for it is "partial 16S rRNA". It matches the Rfam family "Bacterial small subunit ribosomal RNA", at positions 525 to 775 of the family's 1533-position model. The record is from RNAcentral.